Eptesicus fuscus (big brown bat) is the source of this 80-nucleotide non-coding RNA. Lineage: Eukaryota; Metazoa; Chordata; Mammalia; Chiroptera; Vespertilionidae. The record is from RefSeq and is marked provisional.
GGGCAGCAGGGACGAGGGCUCUGCAGGGGCGGGUCUGCGCCUCACACACCCCCUUCCUGAGCCCUCCCCACUGAAAACUG